AGAGAGGUGCCCGAGCGGUUGAAGGGGCCACCCUGGAAAGGUGGUACAUGGGUAACUGUGUCGUGAGUUCGAAUCUCAUCCUCUCUGCAA
This 90-nucleotide transfer RNA is filed under the name Dyadobacter luticola. Its description in RNAcentral is "tRNA-Ser". It matches the Rfam family "tRNA". From Rfam's summary of the family: Transfer RNA (tRNA) molecules are approximately 80 nucleotides in length. Their secondary structure includes four short double-helical elements and three loops (D, anti-codon, and T loops). Lineage: Bacteria; Pseudomonadati; Bacteroidota; Cytophagia; Cytophagales; Spirosomataceae. The record is from RNAcentral.